ACUCCUACGGGAGGCAGCAGUGGGGAAUAUUGCACAAUGGAGGAAACUCUGAUGCAGCAACGCCGCGUGGAGGAUGACGCAUUUCGGUGUGUAAACUCCUUUUAUAUGGGAAGAUAAUGACGGUACCAUAUGAAUAAGCACCGGCUAACUCCGUGCCAGCAGCCGCGGUAAUACGGAGGGUGCAAGCGUUACUCGGAAUCACUGGGCGUAAAGCGCAUGCAGGCGGUCUAAUAAGUUGGAAGUGAAAGCCUAUGGCUCAACCAUAGAACUGCUUCCAAAACUAUUAGACUAGAGUCUGGGAGGGGAAGAUGGAAUUAGUAGUGUAGGGGUAAAAUCCGUAGAGAUUACUAGGAAUACCAAAAGCGAAGGCGAUCUUCUGGAACAGUACUGACGCUGAGAUGCGAAAGCGUGGGGAGCAAACAGGAUUAGAUACCCUGGUAGUCCACGCAGUAAACGAUGAAUGUUAGUCGUUGGUAUCCUAGAGAUAUCAGUGAUGCAGUUAACACAUUAAACAUUCCGCCUGGGGAGUACGGUCGCAAGAUUAAAACUCAAAGGAAUAGACGGGGACCCGCACAAGUGGUGGAGCAUGUGGUUUAAUUCGAAGAUACGCGAAGAACCUUACCUAGCCUUGACAUAUUUUAGAAUUCACCAGAGAUGGAGAAGUGCCUUCGGGAGCUAAUAUACAGGUGCUGCACGGCUGUCGUCAGCUCGUGUCGUGAGAUGCUGGGUUAAGUCCCGCAACGAGCGCAACCCUCGUCACUAGUUACUAACGAUUCGGUCGAGGACUCUAGUGAGACUGCCUUCGUAAGGAGGAGGAAGGUGAGGACGACGUCAAGUCAUCAUGGCCCUUACGGCUAGGGCAACACACGUGCUACAAUGGUUAGGACAAUGAGAAGCAAUAUCGCGAGGUGGAGCAAAUCUAUAAACCUAAUCUCAGUU
Molecule: ribosomal RNA, 939 nt
Filed under: uncultured Campylobacterota bacterium
Lineage: Bacteria; Pseudomonadati; Campylobacterota
Description: bacterial SSU rRNA
Rfam family: Bacterial small subunit ribosomal RNA
Source: RNAcentral